AGUCGCCGCGGGAAUACAGAGGGUGCGAGCGUUAAUCGGAUUUACUGGGCGUAAAGCGUGCGUAGGCGGCUUUUUAAGUCGGAUGUGAAAUCCCUGAGCUUAACUUAGGAAUUGCAUUCGAUACUGGGAAGCUAGAGUAUGGGAGAGGAUGGUAGAAUUCCAGGUGUAGCGGUGAAAUGCGUAGAGAUCUGGAGGAAUACCGAUGGCGAAGGCAGCCAUCUGGCCUAAUACUGACGCUGAGGUACGAAAGCAUGGGGAGCAAACAGGAUUAGAUACCCCAGUAGUCCCUGUCUCUUAUACC
This 301-nucleotide ribosomal RNA is filed under the name uncultured bacterium. RNAcentral's name for it is "partial 16S ribosomal RNA". It matches the Rfam family "Bacterial small subunit ribosomal RNA", at positions 510 to 808 of the family's 1533-position model. The record is from RNAcentral.